GAUGAACGCUGGCGGCGUGCCUAAUACAUGCAAGUCGAGCGAACGGACGAGAAGCUUGCUUCUCUGAUGUUAGCGGCGGACGGGUGAGUAACACGUGGAUAACCUACCUAUAAGACUGGGAUAACUUCGGGAAACCUGAGCUAAUACCGGAUAAUAUUUUGAACCGCAUGGUUCAAAAGUGAAAGACGGUCUUGCUGUCACUUAUAGAUGGAUCCGCGCUGCAUUAGCUAGUUGGUAAGGUAACGGCUUACCAAGGCAACGAUGCAUAGCCGACCUGAGAGGGUGAUCGGACACACUGGAACUGAGACACGGUCCAGACUCCUACGGGAGGCAGCAGUAGGGAAUCUUCCGCAAUGGGCGAAAGCCUGACGGAGCAACGCCGCGUGAGUGAUGAAGGUCUUCGGAUCGUAAAACUCUGUUAUUAGGGAAGAACAUAUGUGUAAGUAACUGUGCACAUCUUGACGGUACCUAAUCAGAAAGCCACGGCUAACUACGUG
Molecule: ribosomal RNA, 497 nt
Filed under: uncultured bacterium
Lineage: Bacteria
Description: partial 16S ribosomal RNA
Rfam family: Bacterial small subunit ribosomal RNA
Source: RNAcentral